CUAGAUGUGGCUGCCGCAC
This 19-nucleotide non-coding RNA is filed under the name Rattus norvegicus (Norway rat). Lineage: Eukaryota; Metazoa; Chordata; Mammalia; Rodentia; Muridae. The record is from RNAcentral.